GCCCGGGUGGCGCAACCGGUAGACGCAGCCGCCUUAAAAGCGGAUCAGCUGCGGGUUCGAACCCCGCUCCGGGCA
Molecule: transfer RNA, 75 nt
Filed under: Streptomyces lunaelactis
Lineage: Bacteria; Bacillati; Actinomycetota; Actinomycetes; Kitasatosporales; Streptomycetaceae
Description: tRNA-Leu
Rfam family: tRNA
About the family: Transfer RNA (tRNA) molecules are approximately 80 nucleotides in length. Their secondary structure includes four short double-helical elements and three loops (D, anti-codon, and T loops). Further hydrogen bonds mediate the characteristic L-shaped molecular structure. tRNAs have two regions of fundamental functional importance: the anti-codon, which is responsible for specific mRNA codon recognition, and the 3' end, to which the tRNAs corresponding amino acid is attached (by aminoacyl-tRNA synthetases). tRNAs cope with the degeneracy of the genetic code in two manners: having more than one tRNA (with a specific anti-codon) for a particular amino acid; and 'wobble' base-pairing, i.e. permitting non-standard base-pairing at the 3rd anti-codon position.
Source: RNAcentral